This 630-nucleotide ribosomal RNA is filed under the name uncultured bacterium. RNAcentral describes it as "bacterial SSU rRNA". It matches the Rfam family "Bacterial small subunit ribosomal RNA", at positions 43 to 694 of the family's 1533-position model. The record is from RNAcentral.
GAGGCCUAACACAUGCAAGUCGAGCGCGCCCUUCGGGGUGAGCGGCGGACGGGUUAGUAACGCGUGGGAAUAUACCCUUUGGUACGGAAUAGCCUCUGGAAACGGAGAGUAAUACCGUAUGAGCCCUUCGGGGGAAAGAUUCAUCGCCAAAGGAUUAGCCCGCGUUAGAUUAGGUAGUUGGUGGGGUAAUGGCCUACCAAGCCUACGAUCUAUAGCUGGUUUUAGAGGAUGAUCAGCAACACUGGGACUGAGACACGGCCCAGACUCCUACGGGAGGCAGCAGUGGGGAAUCUUGGACAAUGGGCGCAAGCCUGAUGCAGCCAUGCCGCGUGUAUGAAGAAGGCCUUCGGGUUGUAAAGUACUUUCAGCGAGGAGGAAAGGGUGUCCGUUAAUACCGGGCAUCUGUGACGUUACUCGCAGAAGAAGCACCGGCUAACUCCGUGCCAGCAGCCGCGGUAAUACGGAGGGUGCGAGCGUUAAUCGGAAUUACUGGGCGUAAAGCGUGCGUAGGCGGCUUGUUAAGUUGGAUGUGAAAGCCCCGGGCUUAACCUGGGAACUGCAUCCAAAACUGGCAAGCUAGAGUGCGGAAGAGGAGUGUGGAAUUUCCUGUGUAGCGGUGAAAUGCGUAGA